GGAUAUAUAUAUUUAACAUCCAUAUUAAAAUCGAAUACAGAUACGGAUAUCUAUAUAUAUUAGCACUUUAUCCGAAUAUGAAUAAUUCAGAUCUCCAGACAUCUGAAUCCAUCUCUAUUUUUUGCGGACCUUUUUCAAAAUAUAACUCAACAUAUUUUUCUACUACCUUGACACCACCAAAGACCAAGCUUGUUUGGUUGGCACCCUGGCCUAGAAGCACCGGCCAGGCAGCCCAAUCCAGCACCAGGCAUCCAAAAUCGAAUGCCUGAGAUUGAUGCUUGAGAAACAAGCUCUAUGUUCCAAAACUCCUCACUUUCAUUCAUAGAACUAUCAUUAUCACUUCCGUACAUCUGCAUACAAAAUGGGUAGAAUGCAUGCUGAAAUUAGUAGAACACAUGCUAAACUUAGACAUAGAUCAAAAAAAAAUUGAGUCAAAAUUACACAUAGAUCAAACAAAGUCAAAUAACACAUACUAAAUGAGUAUGUGAAAAAAAAAAUUACACAUAGAUCCAUGGGACAAACAUGGGAAGGAGGAUAAACUCAUGAAAUGUUGUGUGCGUGAGGGAAAGAACGAAGUACGUAGAAGAGUCGGGAAAAUGUAAGAAAGGAAUUGUAAUUCUUCAAAAUAAUUAAGCUGUGAAUAUACUCCACAUAUAUAUAUCGCUUUAAUUAUAAACAGUCCAAACAGCGUGUGGCUUGUCGAGUUGGCUCCGAUCGACAUCGUGUCUGCUGAUCGAUCGAGCACGUUCUCCAUCACGCAUGCGGGAUGGGCCUCCGCUAGGUUGCUGUUGCAGUGUCGUUGCCAUAGGGCCCACAGCAUUUAUAAUUUGUCAGAUGCAUGCUGCGACGAUCGACUCGUGCGCGUCCAUGGACGCACCUUUCGUUAUCGUUUCACGCGCGCCCUAGCUGCUAGCUUGUCCUCCUCCCUCCCUCCCUCGAGGAAGACGACACGUACGAACGUGGAUACGGUGGUCCCGCUCCUCUAGGGCCACUUGUGUACGUACACGCAGACGCAGACGCAGCGCAGGCGUCGGUACGUGCACGUGCUGCUAUAUACGCCACUCAUAACAGUAAUAUACGACGACGCACAGUACAUGCGACGAGAUCAGUGGGCCAGCCCCAACCGUGAGUGAGAAUCAGGGCUGGAAACGAGCCGAGCCGAGCUCGGCUCGGCUCGGCUCGGUGCGGCUCGGUGACUGUACGAGCUCGGCUCGGCUCGGCUCGUCCAUUUUACGAGCUGGCGAAGGAGGCUCGGCUCGGCUCGACCUUGGCUCGCGAGCCAUAUUCUGGUACUUAUCGUUGCAUUAUUUGGUGAAUUAACAUUAUAUAUUCAUCAUCAAAGACUAAAAAAUGAGGUAUUAUCCAUAAAAUUAUCUAAUAUUCAUUAUUAUUCCAUAAAUUGAUCAUUUUUGCAAGGCUCGCGAGCCGGCUCGGCUCGCUACAAAAACGAGCUCGAAUAAGAGGCUCGGCUCGGCUCGCGAGCCGCUCCGAGCCGAGCCGCUCCGAGCCUCGAGCUAAUUUUCCAGCCCUAAGUGAGAUGGUACCCUUUGUCCCUCCUCCGUCCCUAAAUAAAAAAAAAAAUCUGAGAGAUCUCAAGCCAGCCUUUUUUUUAUCUUAACUAAAUGUAUAAUUAAAUAUACCAUAAAACAUAUUUACAUAACACUAUUUGGUCCCAUAAAUGUUUGUAUCCUGUUAUUUAAAUUUAGUCAAACAUAAAAAAAUGAGUUAAGAUAACUUUAGAUUCAACUGAAGGGUGAAAGAGUAAUAAGUUAAUCGGACAUACUAGCUGUUGCAGUACAAGGGGUUCUUGAAGGAAAAGUUGUAACCCUCGUGGUCACGGAGAUCACAUACUAUAAAGGCGGAUCUAGAUUAUCUCUAGUGGAUCUUGUUGAAAAAUUAACAUGGUCUAAGAUUAAUUUGAUAAUGCAGUAUAAAACAAAAAACACAUAUCUACUGAUAGAUACUAUCUAUGACAUUAGAACAGAAUAGGUCAAAACUAACUCAACAAAAUUAACACAUAAAAGAAAAAUCGACAACGGAUCUAACCAUAAGACCGUCAAUAAACUGAAAAUGCAGAUUUACUUACAGUGAUUUCCACGAGAGUUGGAGAGGAAGUCGAAAGGAUGUGUGCGAAACACUUUCUAGAAACCUGAUUUGCUGACACCCAUGGAGGUCAUCAAAAUGCCGACGAUGGUUCGAAGACACCGCUCUUCCUUGAUCUGUUGCACGGUAGACGAAAGGGAUGGUAGGACAAAGAAGCGGUGGCGCAGAUAAUUAAGAAGAAGAGGACGAGUCGGUUGUUGUUUGCGUCUGUCCUCCGACUGAAAGACGUCUGCCUUUUAUAGAAGGGCGUCAUAACCUCCCUUGAUUCAAUCUGCUAAAUUCCAGGAAUCACUCCCUGGAAUAUCUCUACGUGCAACCGUCCAGAGAUCUCGCACGUAACGUGUGUACCCAUUACUCCCGGUUGACGUGACAGUCUAGGUGUGAUAUUUGAUAACCAAUUAAACAAAAGACAAAUU
Molecule: long non-coding RNA, 2519 nt
Filed under: Zea mays
Lineage: Eukaryota; Viridiplantae; Streptophyta; Magnoliopsida; Poales; Poaceae
Description: long non-coding RNA (ZMAY_LNC004644)
Source: RNAcentral